GACGAACGCUGGCGGCGUGCUUAACACAUGCAAGUCGAACGGAAAGGCCCUGCUUUUGUGGGGUGCUCGAGUGGCGAACGGGUGAGUAACACGUGAGUAACCUGCCCUUGACUUUGGGAUAACUUCAGGAAACUGGGGCUAAUACCGGAUAGGAGCUCCUGCUGCAUGGUGGGGGUUGGAAAGUUUCGUCGGUUGGGGAUGGACUCGCGGCUUAUCAGCUUGUUGGUGGGGUAGUGGCUUACCAAGGCUUUGACGGGUAGCCGGCCUGAGAGGGUGACCGGCCACAUUGGGACUGAGAUACGGCCCAGACUCCUACGGGAGGCAGCAGUGGGGAAUAUUGCGCAAUGGGCGGAAGCCUGAUGCAGCAACGCCGCGUGCGGGAUGACGGCCUUCGGGUUGUAAACCGCGUUCGCCUGUGACGAAGCGUGAGUGACGGUAAUGGGUAAAGAAGCACCGGCUAACUACGUG
This 468-nucleotide ribosomal RNA is filed under the name uncultured bacterium. RNAcentral describes it as "partial 16S ribosomal RNA". It matches the Rfam family "Bacterial small subunit ribosomal RNA", at positions 28 to 507 of the family's 1533-position model. The record is from RNAcentral.